RNAcentral lists this ribosomal RNA (873 nucleotides) under uncultured bacterium. RNAcentral's name for it is "bacterial SSU rRNA". It matches the Rfam family "Bacterial small subunit ribosomal RNA", at positions 54 to 917 of the family's 1533-position model. The record is from RNAcentral.
CAUGCAAGUCGAGGGGAAACGACAUCGAAAGCUUGCUUUUGAUGGGCGUCGACCGGCGCACGGGUGAGUAACGCGUAUCCAACCUGCCCAUCACUUGGGGAUAACCUUGCGAAAGUAAGACUAAUACCCAAUGAUAUCUCUAGAAGACAUCUGAAAGAGAUUAAAGAUUUAUCGGUGAUGGAUGGGGAUGCGUCUGAUUAGCUUGUUGGCGGGGUAACGGCCCACCAAGGCUACGAUCAGUAGGGGUUCUGAGAGGAAGGUCCCCCACAUUGGAACUGAGACACGGUCCAAACUCCUACGGGAGGCAGCAGUGAGGAAUAUUGGUCAAUGGACGAGAGUCUGAACCAGCCAAGUAGCGUGCAGGAUGACGGCCCUAUGGGUUGUAAACUGCUUUUAUAAGGGAAUAAAGUGAGCCUCGUGAGGCUUUUUGCAUGUACCUUAUGAAUAAGGACCGGCUAAUUCCGUGCCAGCAGCCGCGGUAAUACGGAAGGUCCGGGCGUUAUCCGGAUUUAUUGGGUUUAAAGGGAGCGUAGGCCGGAGAUUAAGCGUGUUGUGAAAUGUAGAUGCUCAACAUCUGCACUGCAGCGCGAACUGGUUUCCUUGAGUACGCACAAAGUGGGCGGAAUUCGUGGUGUAGCGGUGAAAUGCUUAGAUAUCACGAAGAACUCCGAUUGCGAAGGCAGCUCACUGGAGCGCAACUGACGCUGAAGCUCGAAAGUGCGGGUAUCGAACAGGAUUAGAUACCCUGGCAGUCCGCACGGUAAACGAUGGAUGCCCGCUGUUGGUCUGAAUAGGUCAGCGGCCAAGCGAAAGCAUUAAGCAUCCCACCUGGGGAGUACGCCGGCAACGGUGAAACUCAAAGGAAUUGACGGG